AGAGUUUGAUCCUGGCUCAGGAUGAACGCUAGCGGCGUGCCUAACACAUGCAAGUCGAACGUGAGAGGGUACUUGUAUCCUUGAAAGUGGCGGACGGGUGAGUAAGACGUAGGUGACCUGCCUUGAAGAGGGGGAUAACCAUUGGAAACGAUGGCUAAUACCGCAUAGGUUGGUAAUGAUGGGAAUGUUACCAACAAAGUUUAGGCGCUUUGAGAGGGGCCUACGGCCGAUUAGUUAGUUGGUGGGGUAAUGGCCUACCAAGGCGAUGAUCGGUAGCUGGUCUGAGAGGACGAUCAGCCACACGGGAACUGAGACACGGUCCCGACUCCUACGGGGGGCAGCAGUGAGGAAUAUUCGGCAAUGGGGGGAACCCUGACCGAGCAACGCCGCGUGGAGGAAGACGGUUUUCGGAUUGUAAACUCCUUUUCUGUGGGAAGAGCAAGGACGGUACCACAGGAAUAAGUCACGGCUAACUACGUGCCAGCAGUCGCGGUAAUACGUAGGUGGCAAGCGUUAUCCGGAAUUACUGGGCGUAAAGCGCACGCAGGUGGCUUGUUAAGUCUGACGUGAAAGCUCCUGGUUUAACUGGGAGAGGUCGUUGGAGACUGGCAGGCUUGAGGCGAGGAGAGGGGUGUAGAAUUCCCGGUGUAGUGGUGGAAUGCGUAGAUAUCGGGGGGAAUACCAGUGGCGAAAGCGGCACCCUGGCCUUGGCCUGACGCUCAGGUGCGAAAGCGUGGGGAGUAAACGGGAUUAGAUACCCCGGUAGUCCACGCCAUAAACGAUGAACACUAGGUGUAGGUGGUCUUAAAACUGUCUGUACCGUAGCUAACGCGAUAAGUGUUCCGCCUGGGGAGUACGACCGCAAGGUUAAAACUCAAAGGAAUUGACGG
This 890-nucleotide ribosomal RNA is filed under the name uncultured bacterium. RNAcentral's name for it is "bacterial SSU rRNA". It matches the Rfam family "Bacterial small subunit ribosomal RNA", at positions 8 to 916 of the family's 1533-position model. The record is from RNAcentral.